This 1244-nucleotide ribosomal RNA is filed under the name Enterococcus sp. RNAcentral describes it as "bacterial SSU rRNA". It matches the Rfam family "Bacterial small subunit ribosomal RNA", at positions 132 to 1363 of the family's 1533-position model. The record is from RNAcentral. Lineage: Bacteria; Bacillati; Bacillota; Bacilli; Lactobacillales; Enterococcaceae.
AUCAGAAGGGGAUAACACUUGGAAACAGGUGCUAAUACCGUAUAACAAUCGAAACCGCAUGGUUUCGAUUUGAAAGGCGCUUUCGGGUGUCGCUGAUGGAUGGACCCGCGGUGCAUUAGCUAGUUGGUGAGGUAACGGCUCACCAAGGCGACGAUGCAUAGCCGACCUGAGAGGGUGAUCGGCCACAUUGGGACUGAGACACGGCCCAAACUCCUACGGGAGGCAGCAGUAGGGAAUCUUCGGCAAUGGACGAAAGUCUGACCGAGCAACGCCGCGUGAGUGAAGAAGGUUUUCGGAUCGUAAAACUCUGUUGUUAGAGAAGAACAAGGAUGAGAGUAACUGUUCAUCCCUUGACGGUAUCUAACCAGAAAGCCACGGCUAACUACGUGCCAGCAGCCGCGGUAAUACGUAGGUGGCAAGCGUUGUCCGGAUUUAUUGGGCGUAAAGCGAGCGCAGGCGGUUUCUUAAGUCUGAUGUGAAAGCCCCCGGCUCAACCGGGGAGGGUCAUUGGAAACUGGGAGACUUGAGUGCAGAAGAGGAGAGUGGAAUUCCAUGUGUAGCGGUGAAAUGCGUAGAUAUAUGGAGGAACACCAGUGGCGAAGGCGGCUCUCUGGUCUGUAACUGACGCUGAGGCUCGAAAGCGUGGGGAGCAAACAGGAUUAGAUACCCUGGUAGUCCACGCCGUAAACGAUGAGUGCUAAGUGUUGGAGGGUUUCCGCCCUUCAGUGCUGCAGCUAACGCAUUAAGCACUCCGCCUGGGGAGUACGACCGCAAGGUUGAAACUCAAAGGAAUUGACGGGGGCCCGCACAAGCGGUGGAGCAUGUGGUUUAAUUCGAAGCAACGCGAAGAACCUUACCAGGUCUUGACAUCCUUUGACCACUCUAGAGAUAGAGCUUCCCCUUCGGGGGCAAAGUGACAGGUGGUGCAUGGUUGUCGUCAGCUCGUGUCGUGAGAUGUUGGGUUAAGUCCCGCAACGAGCGCAACCCUUAUUGUUAGUUGCCAUCAUUUAGUUGGGCACUCUAGCAAGACUGCCGGUGACAAACCGGAGGAAGGUGGGGAUGACGUCAAAUCAUCAUGCCCCUUAUGACCUGGGCUACACACGUGCUACAAUGGGAAGUACAACGAGUCGCAAAGUCGCGAGGCUAAGCUAAUCUCUUAAAGCUUCUCUCAGUUCGGAUUGUAGGCUGCAACUCGCCUACAUGAAGCCGGAAUCGCUAGUAAUCGCGGAUCAGCACGCCGCGGU